UCUGAACUCAGAUCACGNUAAGAUUUUAAAAGUCGAACAGACUUAAAAUUUAAACUACUGCACCUAAAUUUAUAUCUUAAUCCAACAUCGAGGUCGCAAUCUUUUUUAUCAAUAUGAACUCUCCAAAAAAAUUACGCUGUUAUCCCUAAAGUAACUUAAUUUUCUAAUCAUUAAAAAUGGAUCAAUUAUUCAUAAAUUAAUGAUUUAAAUUUUAAAAGUUAAUUAAAUUUUAAUAUCACCCCAAUAAAAUAUAUUUUUUUAUUAUAACAAAAUUAUUCUUUAAAAUUAAAAUAAUAAAUAUAUAAAGAUUUAUAGGGUCUUCUCGUCUUUUAAUAAUAUUUUAGCUUUUUGACUAAAAAAUAAAAUUCUAUUAUAGAUUUAAAUGAAACAGUUAAUAUUUCGUCCAACCAUUCAUUCCAGCCUUCAAUUAAAAGACUAAUGAUUAUGCUACCUUUGCACAGUUAAGAUACUGCGGCCAUUAAAUAAAUUCAUUG
Molecule: ribosomal RNA, 494 nt
Filed under: Dideopsis aegrota
Lineage: Eukaryota; Metazoa; Arthropoda; Insecta; Diptera; Syrphidae
Description: partial 16S ribosomal RNA
Source: RNAcentral